RNAcentral lists this ribosomal RNA (488 nucleotides) under uncultured bacterium. RNAcentral describes it as "bacterial SSU rRNA". It matches the Rfam family "Bacterial small subunit ribosomal RNA", at positions 15 to 518 of the family's 1533-position model. The record is from RNAcentral.
GAUCGAUGGCUCAGGACGAACGCUGGCGGCGUGCUUAACACAUGCAAGUCGAGCGAUGAAGCUCUUCGGGAGUGGAUUAGCGGCGGACGGGUGAGUAACACGUGGGUAACCUGCCUCAUAGAGGGGAAUAGCCUUCCGAAAGGAAGAUUAAUACCGCAUAAGAUUGUAAUAUCGCAUGAUAUAGCAAUUAAAGGAGCAAUCCGCUAUGAGAUGGACCCGCGUCGCAUUAGCUAGUUGGUGAGGUAACGGCUCACCAAGGCGACGAUGCGUAGCCGACCUGAGAGGGUGAUCGGCCACAUUGGGACUGAGACACGGCCCAGACUCCUACGGGAGGCAGCAGUGGGGAAUAUUGCACAAUGGGGGAAACCCUGAUGCAGCAAACCGCCGCGUGAGUGAUGACGGUCUUCGGAUUGUAAAGCUCUGUCUUCAGGGACGAUAAUGACGGUACCUGAGGAGGAAGCCACGGCUAACUACGUGCCAGCAGCAGC